Molecule: long non-coding RNA, 454 nt
Organism: Mauremys reevesii (Reeves's turtle)
Lineage: Eukaryota; Metazoa; Chordata; Testudines; Geoemydidae
Exons: 3
Source: RefSeq, a predicted model, not a curated record
GAGAGAUCCUAACUGAAAGAUCCAGUCAGUAAGACUGUUGGAACUUGUGAACCUGGGUAGCUGUGUGCCGCAAAGAGAUUCAAAACUCCAGGCAAGGUACCACUAUUCGCCAACCUUCAGUACAGGAGAACUCACCCGAACAGAGCAGCUCCUUCAUGAAUGCUGCUUUGUGAGUCAGCAAGGAUGUAGUAGGGUCCUUCUCGCUGCCUCCCCCUCCCCACCAUCCCACUGCUGAUGACUGAAUGUUUCAACCACUGGAGCUGUGCCCAGCUUUUCCUGACCCACUCAAAAACCUUGGCAGGAAAACAGGCCAAUACCACUCCACCAGCUUCCUGGUUGUAACGUGAAGAGGAAAUCCCAGUGUGCUGCAGGAUGUGUAAGUGAAAGGGUAAUUCCAGGCCAGGCAGAACCCAAGCGAUGCAAAUCUCAACAGAAAGACUGAUUUUGUGAGAGC